Long non-coding RNA from Triticum aestivum (bread wheat), 8944 nucleotides. RefSeq lists it as uncharacterized. NCBI's taxonomy places the organism in Eukaryota, Viridiplantae, Streptophyta, Magnoliopsida, Poales, Poaceae. The transcript is spliced from 6 exons. The record is from RefSeq and is a predicted model, not a curated record.
GAGGGUCCCAACGGUAAUAUCUCCGCGCCGCGCCGCGUUGCCGACCGACCGACCGACCCCUCGCCCUGCCUACCCGGUCCGGACCCAGCCCCAACCCACCACCACCAGCUCCACUUCCCUCCGGUUUCCGCCGCCCGCCGAAGCCGCCUCCGGCAAGGACCCGGCCGGUGCCACCGCCCCUUCCCCGGUGGCCCGCCCACGGCCAGGCGCGCCCUGUCCUCCCUCCCGGCGCUCUGGCCGUGGCUCGCCGGUGCGCUCCUCCUCCCUUCGCCCGGGGCCCCGGGCCCUGCCUCCCGCCUCGCCUCGCCGCGCCUCCUCGCGCCCGGUUUGGAUUCGCUCAUCCUCCAUUCGCCGCCCGUUUAGGUUUCAACCGCGCCUGAUUUGGUUCCUGCUCGUGCUCGAUUCGUCAGUUUGGAGUCGCGGUUCGCUUCGAUUUUGCUCGCCCUCGCCGUCGCCCGUUUGGGGUUGCCGUCCGGUUCAAUUUUGCUCGCCGCCUUCAUCCAUUUAGAGUCGCCGUUCCGUUCGAUUUUGCUCGCCCUCGCCGUCGUCCGUGUGGAGUCGCGUCUGGUUCGAUCUUGGUCGUCUUCGCCGUCGUCCGUGUAGAGUCGCGUCCGAUUCGAUUUUGCUCGUCGUCGCAGGCGUCCGUGUAGAGUCGCGUCCGGUUCGAUUUCGCUCGUCCUCGCCGUUGUCCCGAUGCGCUCGCGUGUUCUUGGUCCGUGUCGCCUCGUCGGGGGUCUCCGUCUCGUUUGCUGCGUUGCUUAUGUUCCCAAUGUCUGUCUUUCCAUAUAUGGGGAUGCGUUCAGAGGUGCAAACCAUGUAGGCCGUGGUGUGUUUAUAGUAUCUAUGGUGUGUUCUACACUAUCUGAUGUGAAAUGUAGAAAUAUUGAUAUCACUUCUGUGCUAGUAUAUUAGAUAUGGUGUGUUUUAUCCAAGUUAUUAACCACAUCUCUUACAAAUUUUCCUUGAGAUGGUACAUGUUUAUAUGCCGGGAGUGAUUGAUGUCUUGACGAAUAUAAUCGUUUAUGCUAACUUGGUAUUGGUAGUUCCUGAGGUAACACAACAGUAUUUGUUUAGUGCAGACAAUUGACUAUUCUUUUUUCUGAACUUUUUUGUGAUAUGUGUGUUAUGUGGAUAUCAUAUUCUAAUGCUUUUCUAAGUAUUUAAGGUACAACCUUGUUUAUUGAGAUAUGACCAUCAAUUCUUGCUGUAAAAUAUUGAAUAUUUGCAUGAAAAUCAUAUAAAGAGUCAUUUACUAGUUAUUUGUUUCUUUUGCAGAUAAGUGCGAGAAGGCACUAUAAACUUCAAGAUUCGGACUAAGUGGCUAAGAGAACAAAGAAGAGGAGGAAAAAUGGACUUGUGCGAGAAGAAACGAAGUAACCAGGGGGCUAACUAUUGAAGAGAGGAUCAUCUUGUGCUAAAAGUAAAGAAGGAGGGGGGCCGAAUUAAAAAAAGGUGACAGAUCGGAGGAGGGGAUAAAAUCCCUAGCCGCCUCCUUCGUUCCCCUUUGAGCCUAGCACACAUCUCUCUCCCUCAUCCCUCCUUCUCCACAUCCGGCCGCCGCCGCGGCCAGGCCGGCGUGGCGGCGCGCCAUCCAUCACCAGCACCACCGCACCCCAGCGCGCCACCAACACCUCCACCAUCGCCCUGCGCCUCCAUCCAUCACCUGCGCCAUCCAUCCACCGCCAUCCACAGCGCCGCCUCAUCACCUCACGCCGCCGCCCAUCCAUCUCCUUGCUGCUCCUCUCUCUCACACAACUCCUGCUGCUGUGCUUCUUCCUCUUUUCCUAACCUUGCUGCUGCUCAGAACCUUAACUUGUUGCUGCCACUUCUUCUCUGAACCCAACACUGCUAGUUGCUGCUCCUAAUCUUCUCUGAACCCCAGCCUGCUGCUCUUGCUUCCUCCCUUACCUCUGCUGCUGCUCCUUCCUAUGCGCCCCUGCUGCUCUUCUUGCGCCCAAGCUACUGCUCCUUCUUCUCUUCCUCUGCUGUUGCUCUCUCAACCCUCCACGCUGCAGCUGCUGCUCUGAACUCCAACCUCCUGCUGUCUCUCUUCUCUGAACUUCUCCUUUCUUUACUGCUGCGUGUGUGUGUAAUUUUGCGAACUAUUAGUGUUGAGACUUGAUCAACUAGAUUUUGUACUAGUGCAAUAUUUGUGCCCUGUCCGUUAGUUAGUGAUUUGUAAAACUUCAGAUUGCUUCUUGUGAAUUAUGUGUUGAACUUUAAGGAUGGUUGAUAGCUCCAGUGCAUGUGAUUUUUAUAUUGUCUCAGUUUCUUGUGAUAAAUGUACUUGUGAAUUGUGAUGUGAAGCAUUUCUAGUCUGUAGUAUAAUAUUGUUUCUUCCAUCUUCUUACAUGUUAGAUGGUUAUAUGUGUACAUGUCUUGCAUCUUCUCGGUGUGUAUUUUAAUUCCUCAAGUAUAAUAAAAAUACCAAAAAGACAGUGAAGAAAAUCUGAACCUUCCUUUGCCUUUUUUUGCAUUUUCUUUGGUGACGAUCUUUGGGUACAACCUUGUUAGUUUAGUUUUUAUUUUCUGCAUUCUUCUCUUAAAAUUGUGUUACCUAGCUUUAGCCGAGCAUAGUCGUCGUCGCCUAGUCCCUGUGGAGAAUACGACAUCCGUAGUUUGGGGCGUAAAAAAACCCCGCUAUACUUUCUUUUGAUCAUUUUGGCGCCGUUGCCGGGGACUAGCGUCGUGUGACUGUGUUAGGCUAUAGACUAGGUUUUUCUUCUUUUUCUAGUUUGUGCCAUAUAUUUGUGAUAUAUCUCUAACUCCUAACCCUUGUUCUAGUUUAUUUUCUCUUUGUUUUCUUUUCCUUUUUGCAGGUUAGAACUAUCUUCUCGGUUAUGGCUUACUAUUCAGAUCAUCAGGCUUAUGCGAGCAACACUACAAACAGCACGGAAAGUAUUCAAGAACUGAUAAUUAAGAUUUCCCAUCAAUUAGAUGAUUUAGCUCGGCAGCGAGAGGUAGUUUUUGAGGAUAGGCCUAGCUCUUAUGAUCCUUACUCUAGAGGUCAUCCUUAUGUUGCUCCUACAUGCCAUAUUUGUGGAUUUCAGGGCCAUUCACCCGCUGAAUGUCAGCGUGGUUACUCUCACCCUCCCGAUUGUUAUGGCAUGAGCUUCGCCCCACAGCCUAGCUCAUACCAAAACAAUUACACACAUGGGUGGCCUGAAAACUAGAAUAUGUCAUAUAGGAGCAAUAACCCUGAGAUCUCAUCGUUUGCCUCUAGUUAUCCAAUGCAGGGAGUUAGGUAUGAAGAGGAGAGCCACAACUAUGCUCCGCAACAGUUUCAUUCACCUCCUACUCAUAUACCGCAGCACCAGGAGAUGUGUCCAAUGGAGUUAAAUGGUCCUCCAUUUGGGCAACCGACAACUCCAGAACCUGAUUAGUCAUUAGUGCAAUCUCAUGUGCAAGUGACCACACAAGAUGAGUUCGAUGACAUAGACAAGCUCACACUUUUGAGUCUCGAGUUCACUUGGAGUGCCGAGGAUGAUCCUAUUAGGAAGGUUAUACUAGAGGAAAUGAAGAAGAUCAAGAGUGGGAAUGAGCUAGUGGAAGAAGUAAAGAAGAUUGAGAAGAACAUAAACGCUGGCAGUACUAUUUCUUCACAGCUUGAGUUGAGUAAUUCUGGAAUUCUCCUUGAUACACGUGAGGUUCCAAUACCGUCACAUCCAGCUGAGCAAGAUAGCAAGUGCCUUGAGCAAGAGAUACCUCAGAUUGAAGAAGAUGAACUAGAAGACAAGGAACAAGAUGAUCAAGAGCUGCAAUUCCCAAGUGAUCAAGUUGAAGACUCGUCAUCUACUACUCCUGAAGAAGUAAAAGAAGCUGUUGUAGAUGAAGAUGAAGAACAUGAGAUUCAUUUGCCUAUUGUCAUACCAGAGCGUGAUGUGUCAGGUUUACCCAAUCCUCUCGAUGAGUUGCGUCCUUAUGAUUCCUUUGCUUCUACCUUGCAUUGCAUGAUGCCAUCUGUUAAAGUAGAUUUGAAAAAGUAUUUGCUUGGAUAUGAUUAUAUAUACCCUGUUAGUGGCAUUACACACAUUAAUGAUGAUCACAGUUACUUUCCUCGUGCUAGACCUAUGCUUAAUGAAACAUAUCAUUCUUAUGCUAGUCUUGAGCUUAAUGAAAAAUAUCAUCCUCAUGUUAGUGUUGACUUUGCUGAUUUCUACCAUCCUAAACAUGUGCUUUAUAGCUAUGCUUAUGUAAUUGGAUAUUCGAUUGAUGACUUGGAGGGUAUUAUCCCUACCACUUGCAUUGUCUCUUUCAUUGAGUGCUCUUUCAGGUUGUUGCUUGUGCACGAUCCACUACAUGCUGAUCAAGUUCGAGAUGACAUUCCCUGGGACCCCGGUGGACCCAUGGCAUGGGGAUGAGGAGAAGCAAGGGGCACAUACGAAGAAGAGAGAAGCUGGAGCAGGCAUGAGGAUAGGGAAGCAAUAGGAGAGGAGUCACAAUGCACGAGGAAGCAAAGGAGAGGAGCUGCAGUUGGUGAGGUGAUCGAGCGAGUGCUACAUGAUCAAAGCCCGGUGAGAUGUUUCAUGACCCAUUCUGAAUGUCAUAAAUACAUGCUAAAUUCAAUUGCUAGUUGGGUUGCUUGAGCUAGUUAUUACUUGUUGUCAAGCUGAAAUUCACCUUUGGCAUUGUGCUUGAUGUGAAUUUGUGAACUUGAUUUCUGAAUGCCUUGUAAACUAGUGAUCUACACCAUGCAUGCUUUGCUGAAAUUUGUGGAAGUUAUUAGUUUUGAGUGCUCAAAUCCCUAGUACACUAGAAAACUUGAUCAUUUUCUGCUUUUACCUUGAUACACCUAGAUCACCAUGUUUAGAUGCUGAAUUUGUGCUAAGUGUGUUCACAUUGAGAGCAAUCACCUAACCACUAUGGAUUAGCAUGCUAUGUUCCCUGGAUCGGUAGCAUGUGAACCAGACAUGGAGAAGUGAUGAUUCCUGUUUUUGUGCUUAUGCGUUGUUCAUUUAAGAUAAGUAAUAUUGAAUAAAUAAGUCUGGUCUACCUACAGUAGCAUGUCAUGUUCCUUGGAUCGGUGGCAUGUGAAAUCUGGUAGCUUGGACAGUAAUAAAUAAAUAAAAAUGUAAUUGUCAAACCAGGUGUAUACCAUGUUCUCGGGAUCGGUGGUAUGUUCCUUUGGGGAGACAAACAAAAAAAUACUAAUAAUUGGUCGAGCCAGGUGUAUACCAUAUUCUCGGGAUCGGUGGUAUGUUCCUAUGGUGAGACUAAUAAUAAUAUAAUCAUUGCUUUAUCUCUGUAAAUAAGUGAUUUGAUCACAAGAUUUAAUUCCAGAUCAUUUUGUUCUUGGGAUCAUGCUCUCUUUAGGAACCAUUUGGCACAGUCAUCAUUUAAACUUGUUGAUCCUCUUUUAUCAUUGUAAAAGUUUAAAAUGGUCAUGCUUACUAGUAUUCGAUUGCUCUGUAGCACUCUUAACCAUUGAUUUUCACUAGUUAAGUCCAAAGCAUGCUUUGUUUGGAGAUCUACUUCACUGGGACAUUCUCCAGUCAGCUCACUGUUCAUUAUCUAGCUCUUGUCAUAUUCCUUUGCUUGAGGACAAGCAAAAGUUUAAGUGUGGGGGAACUUGAUAAGCACAUUUCAUACACAUCUUUUGUCACUCAAAUAUGCGGUUUAUUGAGAUAUGACCAUCAAUUCUUGCUGUAAAAUAUUGAAUAUUUGCAUGAAAAUCAUAUAAAGAGUCAUUUACUAGUCUUUUUUUUUUGCAGAUAAGUGCGAGAAGGCACUAUAAACUUCAAGAUCCGGACUAAGUGGCUAAGAGAACGAAGAAGAGGAGGAAGAAUGGGCUUGUGCGAGAAGAAAGGAAGUAACCAGGGGGCUAACUAUUGAAGAGAGGAUCAUCUUGUGCUAAAAGUAAAGAAGGAGGGGGGCCGAAUUAAAAAAGGUGACAGAUCGGAAGAGGGGAUAAAAUCCCUAGCCGCCUCCUUCGUUCCCCUUUGAGCCUAGCACACAUCUCUCUCCCUCAUCCCUCCUUCUCCACAUCCGGCCGCCACCGCGGCCAGGCCGGCGUGGCGGCGUGCCAUCCAUCACCAGCACCACCGCACCCCAGCGCGCCACCAACACCUCCACCAUCGCCCUGCGCCUCCAUCCAUCACCUGCGCCAUCCAUCCACCGCCAUCCACAGCGCCGCCUCAUCACCUCGCGCCGCCGCCCAUCCAUCUCCUUGCUGCUCCUCUCUCUCGCAACUCCUGCUGCUGUGCUUCUUCCUCUUUUCCUAACCUUGCUGCUGCUCAGAACCUUAACUUGUUGCUGCCACUUCUUCUUUGAACCCAACACUGCUAGUUGCUGCUCCUAAUCUUCUCUGAACCCCAGCCUGCUGCUCUUGCUUCCUCCCUUACCUCUGCUGCUGCUCCUUCCUAUGCGCCCCUGCUGCUCUUCUUGCGCCCAAGCUACUGCUCCUUCUUCUCUUCCUCUGCUGUUGCUCUCUCAACCCUCCACGCUGCAGCUGCUGCUCUGAACUCCAACCUCCUGCUGUCUCUCUUCUCUGAACUUCUCCUUUCUUUACUGCUGCGUGUGUGUGUAAUUUUGCGAACUAUUAGUGUUGAGACUUGAUCAACUAGAUUUUGUACUAGUGCAAUAUUUGUGCCCUGUCCGUUAGUUAGUGAUUUGUAAAACUUCAGAUUGCUUCUUGUGAAUUAUGUGUUGAACUUUAAGGAUGGUUGAUAGCUCCAGUGCAUGUGAUUUUUAUAUUGUCUCAGUUUCUUGUGAUAAAUGUACUUGUGAAUUGUGAUGUGAAGCAUUUCUAGUCUGUAGUAUAAUAUUGUUUCUUCCAUCUUCUUACAUGUUAGAUGGUUAUAUGUGUACAUGUCUUGCAUCUUCUCGGUGUGUAUUUUAAUUCCUCAAGUAUAAUAAAAAUACCAAAAAGACAGUGAAGAAAAUCUGAACCUUCCUUUGCCUUUUUUUGCAUUUUCUUUGGUGACGGUCUUUGGGUACAACCUUGUUAGUUUAGUUUUUAUUUUCUGCAUUCUUCUCUUAAAAUUGUGUUACCUAGCUUUAGCCGAGCAUAGUCGUCGUCGCCUAGUCCCUGUGGAGAAUACGACGUCCAUAGUUUGGGGCGUAAAAAAACCCCGCUAUACUUUCUUUUGAUCAUACAUGUUUAUAUGCCGGGAGUGGUUUAUGUCUUGAUGAAUAUAAUCGUUUAUGCUAACUUGGUAUUGGUAGUUCCUGAGGUAACACAACAGUAUUUGUUUAGUGCAGACAAUUGACUAUUCUUUUUUCUGAACUUUUUUGUGAUAUGUGUGUUAUGUGGAUAUCAUAUUCUAAUGCUUUUCUAAGUAUUUAAGGUACAUCCUUGUGGAUCUAGACAUGUCACAUUUGCUCUUUUUUGGGUUGCUAAGGACACUGAACAUUUUGGCUGGGCCACUGCACGGCCUGGAUAAUCAAGUACACUUGAUUUUAUGUGUAGUUGAUGUUCUCUGCCACAUCAUGCUCAAUUUGUGCUUGCCAAAUGGAUCUCUUGGAACAAAUUGUUCGUAAUAAAUGAACAAAUUGCAGAACUUGUGGCUAUGCUAUUUACCCACUUGCUUUUGCACAUGAUGUUGAGAAGAAGAAAAACAUACGCCCUGUUAUUUUAAAAUGCUGUAUUUACUGUUUUGAUGCGCAUAAACUGAGAAUAGUCACCAUAUACUCAUUUAAAGUGUGCUCAUUUUAAUUUUAUAAAAUACCUAGUAUUGAAAGAUUAUGUAGAUCGAAGCUGGUUAAUUAAUACCUGUUCAGAAAAGUGUACAAAGAAUGACUGCAUCAUGCUUGUCAUCUUGUGAAAGAAAUCCUCCAGUGAAUUUACUGCUGUUCCAGUGUCGUCAUGUAAAUCUCAUAGAGAAUGUUUAUCUCUAGAUUUGUUUCACUACCACAAAUAACUGACAUUAUAUUAUGUUUUUGUGGGCUUUGUAACUGCUCAUUAUAUCUUCUUCGGUGACUUUGUAAUUGACCUUGUUGUUAUUAUAUAAAAAAAUGCUGCAACAUUCUUGAUCUGUAACUAUGCUGGCUAUCUAUACACAGGUUGUAGUGAUUAGAGAGAAGCUUGCGAAACUGUAUGAAUCUGAACAACAAUGGUUGAGAGCAGCACAAAUGCUUAGUGGCAUUGACUUGGACUCAGGAAUCAGGAUACUUGAUGACACAAACAAAUUAUCCAAGUGCGUCCAGAUUACACGACUCUAUUUGGAGGAUGAUGAUGAUGCAGUGAAUGCUGAAGCCUUUAUCAACAAAGCCUCGUUUUUGGUCACAAACAGCAACCAGGAAAUUCUGAACUUACAAUACAAGGUCUGCUAUGCGAGAAUUUUAGAUCGAAAGCGUAAAUUCUUGGAAGCUGCACUUUGAUACUAUGGUAUCUCUCAAAUUGAGCAACGCCAAAUUGGGGAUGAGCAAGUUGUGUUUGGAACUGAUAUUGCCUCCAUAUUUUAUUCUCAAAAAUCUUGAUGGAACAUGUUUCUUAGUGCUGUUGUAUAACAUGCACAAUAUUGGCUGGUGCUGGCCCACAACGCUCUCGUGUUCUUGCUACAUUGUACAAGGUUGUUCCUGGCUGUGGUCAUGGAGUUCUAUAUAAUAUAGACCAAAGAUAUUCGUGCCAAAGGUAGUUCGCAUUGAAAUAUUUACCCGAGGACCCACUUCUCCAACUGGUUAGUUAGAAACCUUCAUUUCAUCUAACUGCAUGGGUUCUCUUCGGUUCGACAGUCUCGGUGCAACAUAUUAUUAUUCCCUUUCAGGAACAAAGAUUUGAAUCACCCUCACCCCUCUAGAGAAAUCAGUUUACUCAUUCAAGUUCUGUAAUUUCUUUAUAGUUUUCUGAGUUACUUCGGUCUUGCAUGUAUUAGCUUUCUCUUUGUGCCCCUAUCUAUGCUUGUUUCUUGUGUGCAUGCGCUCCAUUCUGUGUGGGUGUGUGACUUGAUGGUGAAUAUGUGUGUGGCUUGAUUGUGUGUGGCUUGACUGUGUGUGUGAGAUUAUG